Molecule: long non-coding RNA, 22489 nt
Filed under: Arabidopsis thaliana (thale cress)
Lineage: Eukaryota; Viridiplantae; Streptophyta; Magnoliopsida; Brassicales; Brassicaceae
Description: long non-coding RNA (ATHA_LNC000342)
Source: RNAcentral
UCCAACAAUGUUUGUCACCUUGUUUUGGUACUCUUUGUAGUUUUUCAGCUGUUGGUUCAAUGUUAUUGCAUUCUACAAUAAUAUGAUGAAACCAUAAAAUGUUAUUAAGUAUUCCGGUUUGACUAACUUAAUAGCCGGAUUAAACAUGGUUGAGGAGGAGUUAAUUAGUUACGUAAAAUAUGGCAGUUCCGUCGUCAUAACCGGAAGCACCAGAGGCGAAAUUGGCUCCGGUUAACAGAUUUGUCCCAUUAGCUUCUUGGCUAAGAUACGGCACCGGGUAAGAAGUGAACCCUAAACUCUCAGCUGCUCAACAACAAACAAAAGCCUAAGGAAAUUAAAUGAAAUGAUAUAUAUAGAUGGUACGUACUAUAACGUAAAUAGUGAAUUAGGCUGGUUCGAACCGGUAAAGUCUGUGGCAAGUUUUCCGUUAGAGAAACGGCCAGUGGCAUUGUGGGCUAAGAAGUCACGUCCAUAGGGAGGAAAAUUGGCUUUGAUGAGGGUAUUGAGGCGGUUGUUGUUGCCGGCAUCGACAACUGAAUCUCCCAUUAUGAUUAGAGCCGGUACAAGUGGCUCACCGGUCCCAACGCCGGCGUAGAAACAGGCGAUAACCGAAAAGGUCAUCAACAUUAUAAUAAACAUCUUCAUUUUCUGUUUGAAAUAAUGUAGUAAAAGAUAGAGAUAGGAGUGAGUGAAGAGAUAGGGUUUUAAAGGAAGAUAGAUUAAGGAAAUUACAUUCAUUUGUUUGAAGCUUGCAUGCUUCGGUAGUAACGUCGUAUUGGAAUUUAAAGAUGGUAGACCUUAACACGCAAUUCAUCCACAAGAGGACAUACGACACCUCUCACAUUUUUCAUGCAAUCACAACAAACAAAUUAAAGGAUUUUUUUUUUUUUGGUUUUAUAACUAUUUCGGGACUCAUUUGUUAAAUAGGUUUUUUUUUUUUUUUUUUUUGUUAAACAGUUUAUCAUUCGUUGGGUUUAGUCAAACGAUAUACAAAGAGAUCACAUGCUAAAACAUGUGAAUGAAACUAAGUUUCACUUAACUUUUACUUCCUAAAUUCAACAAACCUUUAUUGUUUUCUUUCUUGAGACUCGUCCUACGUCAUCUCCUUUUUGUCUAGACCUAAUUAAUGAAACCAAAAUUCUAAUUUGCUUACGUCGAGUAUAUAGACUGAAUUCGGUUAUCCUUUUUUUUCGGUUAUCCAUUAAUAUGCUUUCAAGUUUUUUGGUUUAUAGAUCUAUUGUUUCGUUAUAAACAUAAUAAGUUGCUAAGCUCCAUUUUUUCGUUAUUUUUACAACUCACAACUAUAAAGUAAAUAUGAAUUUAUAUAAACAGAGUAAAGUGCACUUUAUAUAUUAUUGAUCAAUAUGACAACCAAUAAUUAAGAUUGAUCGUCUCUAAGCAUCAGCAUAUAGAUAGGAUAAAAGUAUUAAAAAUUAAUUUGUCAUAGUAUAUUAAACGAGUUGAUGAGAGCUACAUUAUUCAAAAUAUGAGCAGUAAAACUGGUUUUGACCAUGUGAAUAUUAUUACAGUAAUCUUUGAAUACACACACUGACUUCUCAAAGCCAUUAACACCAAACCUUAGCUGUUGGGUUACUGUUGCAUGACCACUUUUUCCGGUUCAGGCCCCAAUUGGGUAAAGUGGGCUUUGAUUUGGAAAGAACAGAGAUCGGGUUUACAGUCAAUCCGAACCGAUACGAUGGAUUAAGAAAAAAAUCCGGUAUGGACUGAUUUAACUGAACCAUUCGGUUUCGUCCCGUUUCCUUAGUUCACUUCUCUCGUCUAUCCCCAGUCGUCGCCGAUUCUCUCUUACCGGUGUCAACUCGCUCCACCGUCGGUAAGUUCCACGAGAACCAAAUAAGGUUUCCAAUCUCAAUCCAAUUCCAAAUCAAUUUCGAUUCUCGUAGAACUAGUCCAGUGAAUCAGUUUUGCUAUUCAUACUCUGUUCUCUUAUGAACUAAGAUUACUAUCUUCAAUUCAUAGAUUAGGGACACACUUUGCAUAGGUUUUGGUGAAUUAGCCUGAAAUGUUGUUUAGUUUUCGAAUUGAAGUAAUUGAAUAGAUGCCUAGAAGGCCAUCAGGGAGAAGAAGAUUGUCAAAGUAUAAACCUUUAGCAUUUUCAUCGUUUAUACGUUCUCUUGCCUUUGCUUCAACGGCUAGACGUAAAUUGCCUCUUCCGGAUAUGUCUUUUGGUUAGUAGUAACCUCAAAGAUUGAGACUUUCUCUAGACAGAACAUCGUAGCGACUUGAUGAGUAUGUCUCAUUCUUAACUUUGUAGAUGAAAAGUUCCAUAAUUUGUCUAAGAAAGGGAAAGAGAAAUCAUCGUUGGAAUCCUCUGAUGAAGAAGACUCUCAGGUAACCGAUUUCGUGAAGUUACUCUGCUAUUGAUUUCUUUUAUCUUUUUGUUACGUUUUAAUUCGUUGUUUGAUCUUUGAAGGGAGAUGUCCAAGCAGGUUUUGUGGAUUUGAUACUGAAUCAAACAGCGUUAGGAACUGUGGUAAAAGUAGCAGAUGAUGAGGAUGAGGCAUUAUUUGCUCUUAUCACUGCUCUUAACUUGGCAAGAUACAAGGCAAGUCAUGUAGACUCACCUCUAUUAAGUGAACUUUACAUUUAUAUAUGCUUAAUGAUCGACUUGAUCAUGUGCUGUGUAUAUGAUUUCAUUUGCUUGUUAAGCUUGUUGAAGUAUUAAAUGAUGUUCAAAGGUGUUUAUUCGUAUUUGCUAUUAUGCUUAUGGUGAGCAAUCUAUUAACAACCGAAUGAUCUUUUUUUGUGUGUUCAGGAGAAUAAGUGCUUUAGAGAGCUAAAAGAGUUUCUUCUUAAAGUUUGUUCGGAGAAGAAUGUAGCGAGUGAUCUAGAACUACUCUUAGAGAAAAAGGCCAAAGAUGUUGGUUUAUUGGUCUCUCAAAGAGUGAUGAAUCUUCCUCUACAACUCCUUCCUCCACUAUAUGAUGGAUUGUUCGACGAAGUCUCAUGGGCCACUGAAGACGAGGUUUGAUCUUUCAAAGUUAAGUUUAGGCAAAUUCUUUUCUUAUGAGCAAAUUAAAGAUCUUCGAAAUUUAUCAAUUUGUAAGUUUCUGUUUACAGCCUACAGAAGAGCUUCGAGGGUCAUUCCGCUUCAAGUCAUAUAUUCUAAUCGCUAAGAUCUACAAGGUAAGUGUUCUGGUAAGGUUAUUUUUUCCGGUUCUCGAAUUCUCUUUCUUGUUUCAACAAUGUCGUGGUGAAGAAGAGAACGAGGAACAAUAUAACUUAAGCCUGAAGAUGAAAUUUUUCUCGAGGUACUUAUUCUCACAUUACCUACUCGACUUCCCGUCUGUUAGCAAAAAAAGUUAUACCCUAAACAUGUGUUACAAAAUGUAUUGCAGCUUAGCUCUUGGUCAUUCAUAUUACCUAUGUACUCGCAGCUUGUUACAUCUCAAGAGGUAAGUUAUCUCUUUAAUGCCAACAUACUUUCCCUGGAAUCACAAAAAUUUGAUUCAAGUGUUUCAGGUUUGUAAUCUUUGGUUAUAAUGGCGAUUGGCGAAUCUAGUAGUUGAAGAAUUGUCAGUGCUGGUCGUGGAGACACAAAAGAUUCCUGAAUUCAGAAAGAAGUUGAAGUCUCUCAUUGACGAACAAUAAUGAACAUCUCUUCUUCUUAAAGAUUCAGCUCACCGGUCAGUUGUUAUAGAUCUCUGCCAGUUUUGAUGAGGUUAUUACAGUGCUAUUUUUUGUCAUUCUCAGGCUUUCUUCCCCUGCAUAUUAGUGGAACUGAAACAUUGGUCUACUACCUUUUCUUUUUUUUUGCUCAAGGGUUUAUAUGAAACAGUGUGAAAUGCUAUCAAUGAUUCUUAAUUGUAAGUGUUGAAGUUUAGUUAGAAACAGAUGUAGAUUGGUCUAUUUGAUUCAUAACACUAAAGUUAAAUGCACGAGUUAGUGUAAACUUUGUAUUUAUCUUAUAAAAGUAUGUGUAUAGAUAUACUCAAAUGAGACAUUUUCAGAAGAUGAAACAGUAGUGUUGACAAAAUAUACUCAAGUAUGUGUUAGUGGAUCACAGCGCGUUGGAAUACAGUGGUGAUCAUUGGGAAUAAACAAUAUAGUUGGCUAUGUAUAAAUGAUCUCAAAGCUAUGCAUGUUAACCAGAAAUUUCGAGCUAGAUUGUGUAAAUCAGAACCAAGAUUGUGAACAGCAAAUGUGUUAUCUACUCUCUUCGUCAACCCUUGGACUCUCCCAAAAGACAAUUUGCUUGUGAUGUUUUUACUUUGGUAACAAAUAGACUCUUCCAAAAGAAAGUCUUUGAGCUUGAAUACAAAGUUAUUUGCAACAGAAAAAAAAGAAAACAAACAAAAAGGAAAGUAAAACCAGAAAAAAAUGAAAAAGGAGAAAGAGACACAUGUUUUUUGCAGCUUUCGCAGUACAAAAGCAUCGCAGAAGAAGCUCCUACCACUUGAAGAUAUUUUUAUAAGAAAACAUAUAUAUGAUUUAUUUUUGUUUACAUAGAAUCUUUAUGUUUUAAAAAAAAAUAUUGGAUAGAAAAUAGUUAUACAAAUCAUAAUUCUUAUUUCUUAGUUGUAACUGAUGAACGAUUUGAUUAAUUUUAUUCACAAAACAUAGGUAAUCUAGUUACUUGUAAAUUAAUUUUGAAUUGAAAACUCAUAAAACUCAACAUAGUAACACAAUAUGAACACACGUUUUAUCCAAUCCAAACCAAAAACUGAUAUGAUCAAAUAUGUAUAUAAAAUUGUUCUAACUGGACCAAUCCGAAAUUGAUAUUAAAAUGAGAUCUUGUGAAGAUGAAACUGUUGGAAGAAUUAUCCCUAACAACAACAUAUUAUUCGUUUCAGUUUUACUUUGGUUAGUAUUUUUAGAUCCUAAAAAGAAACUCAAAAUUUUCCACAAAAAAGAGGAUUGAUUGAAAUCCAUAUAGCCUUUUUUUUGUAACAGCAAUACAAUAUUAUGGGUUAGCUAUAAAGAUGGAAAUUGUUUUUAUUAGAAUUUUUUUUUUUUGGUUAAAUUAUUGAAUUUACUUUGUCUACAUGUAUGUGUAAAUGUACCUCCUCCUCACUUUAUGUUGGUUACUUGUUGUGAGUAUAUAUUAUACGAGGAUCAAACCUUAACACAUGAGGGGACCUAGCACGACUCUUCGACACGUUAACCAAUCAAAUUUAGACAGCCUUUCUAUGUUACAAAGCCCUAAACUUUUAAAAUAUUAGAAUUUAUGUGUUUAUACGAAGGACCAGUAGACUCGGUCCAAGGGUUAGUAUGUUUCUUGCUUUCUCUUUUUUUUUUUUGUUACUACAUGCAACACGACAGGUCGUCUCUUUUAAUCGUAAGGUUAUUGCAUGUUGGUUUGUCCUCGAGAGUCGUUCUAAACCGAAGUAUGGCGGCUAAUAAUUUCCACUGCUGGUUAAUCACCAGGUUUGCGGCUUCGUACCGGUGAAAUAGAAGAUGUUAAUGUACUUAUAAAUCUAUGUACCGGUAGAUAUAAUUCGUUAGUUAAUGCGUGAUUUGAAUGAUGUGAUUUAUAUGUGUACCGUGAAAAAAAAAAUGUGUACCGUGAAAUGAAAAAGAAAUAACUAUGCUCGUACAUGUAGAAAGUAAUUACUUGUGACAAGACUUGAGUUUGCAUAAAUUAUAAAUCAGAUACAUCAAAUUUAUAACAAUAUUUUAUUUUGCAUGACAGUUUUGUUUUUUGAUUUUAGAUUUUUUGUUUUAUUUUUGGUUUUUGAUGAAAAGAGAAAUGAAACGAAUAUAAAUGAUCUUCAAAUGAGUUUUAGUUAAAUUUUAUGUAUAAGCAAAUAAUACAUGUACUUGGCAGUUGGCAGAGAGAUCAUAUGUUUGAACGAUUUUUCUUAAAUACGUAUUUAUGAAUUUCAAAACGAUUUUCAGUUUCAUUUUAUGACACAUACGAAGAGCAUUUCGAUGCGAUUCACACCCAAACAGUAAACUAAUUUUUGGCAAUGACAAAUAUAUUUAGAUUAGGCAAAUUUUUGAGUGAAAGAAGGGAGGGAACAGAACCGAGUACGUGUUGAUUGGUAAUAACAAGGGCCACUCAUUUUAUGAAUAAAAUACGCUAUAAAAAGUGUGUUUUACUGUUGGAAAGAUAUUUAGCCAUGAAAACAACCAUAAGUAGUUAAACACAACGCAUGGACAUUAUGUUUUACUGAAACCCUAAUACUCUACAUAAUGUUUUAGACUUUUAGUUCAAAACGAUUCAUACCCAAAUACUGACACCAAUCACCAUCUCAAUUUUGGCAAUAAGAAAUAUAUUUAGAUGUAGCAAAAUUUUGAGUAAAAUCAGGGAUGGAAUGGAACAGAGCACGUGUUGAUUUGUAAUAACACCAAACGCGAGGGGCCAGUCAUUUUAUAAAUAAAAAUGGUGUUUCACUUUUGGAAAAAUAUUUAGCUAUGAAAAUAACCAUAAGUGGCUAAACACAACACAGGCACAUUAUGUGUUACUGAAACCCUAAAACUCUAUAUAAUGUUCUAGUUCACAGUGUCUUUUUCAGGCAAAUCCUAAAGUCUUUGCAUGCCCUUGAUUUGGUAGCGAAUCAAUUUGCCUACGUAGGUGUACUGUAUAUACUUCUUUGUUUUUUCUUCAGUUUUUUCUUUAUUUAUUUUAGCUCUGAAGUCUUGGAAGCAAUAAUUACAUAAGAUUUUGUUAUGGCACAUGUGUAGAUAACCCUUAUCUUAUCCCUUUUUUUUUUUAAUUCACAAUGAAACCAAAACCAGUUUGUUUUUGAUCAAUUUUGCUUUGACUAUUCUUAAGCAAAAAUAAAAUAAAAUGAUUGAAACCCACAUUGAACUUAAACUCGAUUUCAAUACCUUUAGUCAUUGAGCUGGAACGAAAAAUGUUUAUGAUAUUUGGUAAUUUGUUAAUAAACGAGAAUCCAAACUAUGUAAUAGUAAUCUAACAAAAUCGAAACAAGUUACUAAGUUAGUCGUAUUUUGCUAGAUUUGUUUAUAUGAUAGCGAAUAUACAUGUAGAGAACCAGAAGUUGGUCGGCGUUGAGGAUAAUUGUAACAGUACUUAGCCGCUAACCACUGAAUUAAUGACACGUGAUCUCUCUUGAGUUUACCGUUGAAAUUAAUAUUUCCCACUUGCAUCUCUCAUUUCUCAAAGAUGGGUCUAUCAUUCAGGCUGUACUAUAUUCUUUAUACACCCAAAAUGGCCAAUCCAUUUAAAAAAAACUUUUCUCCAUUUGAACACUGAAUCAAUGUAGAAUGCUAAUUUCUUCUUGUUGUCAAAAACUAGACUGUUAAUUACUUAAUUAUACUUUUGCAACUUGCAAGGUAGCAAAAAGUAAAAUCUUAAGUAAAAAUAUGAAAAUAUUGUAAGCAUUUUAAUGAUUAAGACUUGUUAUUUAAUGGUUAUUCGGUUGAAUAUAGAUAUUUUUUCUUAAAACUCUUGACAAAAAACUAUAUCUCAUACCUCAUAUAUACAUAUAAUAAAUAUUUUAUUGAAGACUGACUUUUCUAUCUAAUAUGUUUCGAAUUAUAUAGUUUGUAGGCAGAGACAUUUUUUGUUUACCGCGGACAUGUCUACGCUAGUGAGGGAUUUAUACCCAAUAAAUCUAUAUUUUUGACGUUGAAUUUUGGAAUGUAAUAAAUAUAUAUAUAGAGAAAGGGUCCCUAUAGAGAAAUAUACAUAUGCCUAUUAGAUUUUUUUUUGAAAAUAAAAGGUGGUUGUUUGUCACAAUACCAGCCGUGAAAAUAGAUAUGAAUAUGAUCGCCGAGUAAGAAGAGGAGAGGAUCAUAUUUUAGAUGGUCAUCAAGGUCUUGUCACUUUGACCAGAACUAAAAAAAGUUUUCAUCGUUUAACUAUCCUUUUCCGUAUCUCCACGUUUAUCAUAUAAUAAGGUUCACUACAUGUGAUGUGACCUAUCAAGCCAUGUAUGAGGAUUUAAUGAUUUAUAUACUACAGCAACUUAGAUUUUAUUAAUUAAUCAAGAGUUUACUAUUUUUGUAGUAUUACAAUGCUAAACAUGAUAUGCAAUUAAUCUAGUUUUUAUUCUGAUAAUCGACAGAUCGUUAUCAAUACUUCUGUAAACUCAAUUGAUAUUUCGGAUUCAACUCAUCUUUGGCAGUUUUUAUUCAGAGUACGGAAAUUCAGAACACAAAUAAACAUGAGAUUACAUGCAAAUUUUCUUCUUUCAUUUUUGCAGUUUAUGACAAUCAUGAAACUAGCGUUUGCGUGCAGCGGUUUCUCUUUGUGCGUUAAAGAAGACGGCCGCGACAGGGAGACCAAGAUCAUACUCGACCGCAAAUUUACGAGUGUUGAAGUGAUCUCUCGAAGGGAUAUUAGGAAAGAUAACACGUCUUUGCUUCUGCCUGAACAGAACAAACACAAACCUAUGUAUCCCUAUGCUUGGCCUUGGCAAUUCAUAGCUCACCACCUCUUUGCCUAUAUUACAAUGCAAAUAUUUUUAUUUCUAUAUAACAUGAUAUAUGUAUAAGUAUUUAAAUUACAAGAUUCAUGAAGAGGCCUUACCAAACGUAGCAUCUGUUGUGCCGGGAAUGUUUGUAACGAUCCUAUUGAAACAUUCAACAAUACUAAUAUUAUUACUUUACAGAAAAAGUUCUGAGAACUCAUGGCGAUGGAGAUCUUUGACCAACUCAAAUGUAUAUAACUUACACCCAAAAAAAACUUUAUUAGGGUUAUAACGAAAUGAUUUAAAUGCAAUGUAUAUGGAAUAUGGGCCCAAAAUGAAAAGAAAGAAUAAAUAAAUUAAACGUACCAGUGCAGGUGUUCUUUUAGAAAGGGGUCACUAGGACCUGGAACAUCUGGGUCUAUCAUCACCUGUUUUGCAUUUCGGUUGAGUUUUACCAUUAAAAAAAAAAGACUGGAAAAAGGAAUGAUAAAAACUAAAGCUACAAUUUAUAAGAUUAUUGAGUUAGAAAUGGAAAACUUGUAAGAGGAAAAGGAAGUGAGACGUUUUAUAUGGUUUUUUUUGGCACAAUAUAAAUAAAACCAACAUUAUUAUAAAAUAAUUUAAAUAUAUGUAUUUACCAAAGUGAAGAAGGAUCUGAGAUCACCACCAUGGAUCUCAACCCUAGGCUUGGAGGAAACAGAAGAAGGAAAGAGCUCAUGGCCAUUGGAGACUUGCUUCUUGUUAUAACUAACAUUCAUCUUAGUUGUUGGAGUGAAGAAAUCAAGAACAUCUCCUACCACUCUCCCCAUUAUCAAUGGCUCUAUCACUCUAGUUCCCAUAUUCUCCAUUUUCUUUUGUUAACUUAGAGGAAAAGAGAGAUUUGUAGUGAUUUGGGAGACAAAGAGACGACCGAGACAUCUAUUUAUAGGGGUUUUCCGUCUUAGAGAGAGAGAGAAAGAUAAAAGAAUCAAUAGACAUUAAUUCCCAAUUAUGUGUACUAACCUCUUUCUCUUUUUUUUUUCUUUUUCUUUUUCUUUUUGUUUGCUUUCUCAAACAUGUACACCAACUAUAUUAAAGUAAAUUUGGGGGGUUUUAAUAAGUAACUUAUUUUAGGUGAUUUAAAACUAUAAUUAUAUUUAAUUGAAUUAAGAAAUAUCACUUUUUUGGUAUUCACUAUAUAAUUACGUUUGACUUCUUCAGCAACAUUGACUGCUUCAGCAACAUUGGCAUAUCAUGCAUGGUUUCAAGUUUCAACCCCUAUCUAUGACCAAGACUUUAUAUAAAUACCAUAUCGAUCGCUAGAUUUCGUUAAUAUAUAGAAUAUCUUUUGUGUCACGAAGAACAAAACCCACUAACGUCUAAAUUUCGACAAAAUUCCUAGCUAUAUAUACCUCGGCGAAUAAAAAGCUAUUUUUAAGUCUCACUGGUCGAUGAAUUCAAAAAGAAUUUCAGUAGAACAUAUAAUUGGCCAAGAUUAAGAUAUUUGUCAUAAAAACACUCUCAUCGUACUUUGAUUCUAUUACAACUCCGGAUACAAUUAUUGCUCAGAGUAGGCCUGGGCAAAAAAACCGCUAACCGAUUAACCGAACCGAAUCGAACCGAAAAACAUGGUUCGGUUCAGGUUUGGAUAGCUUAAAAUAACCGGUUGAAUAUUAUAUGUCUUAGAUUUCGGUUUCGGUUUCGGUUAGGUUAAUAACCGAUAACCAAAUGAAAACCAAAGCAUAUAUGUAUGAUAGAUAAUAUAUCACAGUAUGUAUUGACACUUAACUAUGUUUUUCUCUUUAUUAGUUUGCAAGUUGAAUUUCGUGAGUUGUGAAUCAGGUGUUUUAAUAUUAUGGAGAGUAUGGACCAUCUUUGUGAGUUGUGAAUAUUUCUCUUUUUUACGUACGUUCUAUAUCGGUUAUUGGUCAAAUUUUUUGGUUGUUUCGGUUUUUAGUCGGUUAUUUCGGUUUUAGUUUAUUUAUGGUUACCAAGUUUAAUAUCCAAACCGAACCGAACCGAAAGAUAUCCGAACCGAACCGAACCAAAAUUCCUCAAAUAUCCAAAUGGUUCUUAUAUUACUAUAACCGAAAUAACCGAAACCAUGCGCAACCGAACCGAAACUGAAUGCCCAGGCCUAGCUCAGAGGCUAUUUGAAAGAAACAUAUCGCAGAUUUGGGACUCCUUGCUCGUGGAACGACAACGCAUUGUCGCAUUGAUUCUUAAAAAAACUUCUUUUUAUCGAAUCAAUAAAACCAACGUGAAGAACCGAUUCUUCAAAUUGGGAUUCUAUAUAUGAUUAUUAGUUACAAAACCUUAAAACUUCCGAAGAUUUUACGAAUGCAUAUUUCAACCAUAAUACUCUAUUAAUCUGAAAUACCAAAAGUGUUAUACAAAUCAGAAAAUCCGUAGACUAAUAUAAACACACCCAAAGGUUUUGUCCUAUUGAAUAUAAUGAUUAUUAACUUAUUAUGGAUUCUCCACUAAAUAAUAAUUUAUUUAUUUUCUUAUAUUAGAAAGUCUUGAUUGAUGCUUUAUUAAGAUUUGGUAAUUAAUCAGAAUAAAGGCACAAAGCAAAAUAUAUCAAACUUAUAUAAAGUUGUCUACAACAAAUUCUCCAAACAAGACAACCCUUUAACAAUUUAGAAAAAAAAAAAAAGAUAAAUCGAAUUUUCAAAAAGAAAAGAGAAACAUCAAUGUGCUCAAUACAAGUAGACAACGUAUCAACGACAAAAAAAAAAAAAAAGUAGACAACGUAUCAACUAGCUAUUUAGCUUAGGUGAAGCUUAAUCCAAAAGAUGUAGCAAGCAACAACUUACGACAUGAGUCACGACCCCAAACCCCCCCAAAAGAAUCUUCUCUAUCCCCGGCCUCUGGUUAUUAACUUUGGCGACCCCAAAACACCUCUUUGACGAAGGAAGCUCUUUUGGCAAGUAAGAGCCAUAGAACUCAAAUACGAGAAGCCUGGUCACUAUGGUGACAAAGUAGGGAUGUUAUCAAUAAACUAAAGUCUACACUCGCUACAGUCUUAAGACUCUUACCACCACGGAUGAAAUCAAGGUUGGACUCAGAACGGACCAGGGUAGAAGAAAGUGAUUCUGAUGAGGUAUUAGCUGCUCUGGUUGGAGUACUACUUUAAUUUGAAGCAGAGAUUUCAAACAUUAGGGUAGAAACAUAUUUGCUUUCAAAUUUUAUCUUAGCCUUGUAGCUUCCUAUAUCAGUUUUGGUUGAUACAUUUCAGAGACAUUUUGGACUCGAUUAAAGCUUCGAUUUUCAAUUGGAAAAACCAAACCAAUAUAACCAUUCUUCUACGAAUCCAAGAUCUGUGGCGAUGGCAAGACCACACCACUGCUUACCCAAGUUAUAAACAUAACCCAAAACACAUGAUUCAGGUAGAACAAGAUGGAGAAUAGAGCAAAUUCUUGAUGAACAAUAUAAAAAAGGGAUGAAGAGAUUUUGAAUACCAAACAACUUAUAAAUCCAGCAGCAAUUGUCUUAAAGCAACAACAAAAUUAAGACUCCAAAUGCAUAAUCCACUAAUCCAAUCAAAGAAAGCAAAAGAGAAAUAACCAAAUGUUUUCUUGUUUCCGCAUUUUGGAGUAUGAAGAAGAAGAUCAACGAAGUCUCCUAGCUUCUCUCUCAGACUCGAGCAAGGUGAGGAUAUCACCUUCCCUCACUGGUCCUUUAACAUUCCUCAUGAUGUAACGAUCAGAGUCGGUAAACUUCACUCGAACCUGAGUAACCUGACCCCUUGAACCAGUCCUACCCAUGACCUUAACCACCACAGCGUGCUUGAUCUGAGAAUCCAUUCUGAUUCAAUCAACCAAAACCAUGAAAAUUCACAUUAAAACAUCAAUCAAAUGCAUACACAAUCAGUACACAGUUUCAUGUAAAGCAAUCAACUUUACAGAGAUUAUCACAAUCAGAAUUCCUUGUUAUGAAAGUUUCAAUCUUCAGAGUUUCUCAUCGUAACAGGAGCAACACUAGGGUUUCAAUUAUCUAAGAAAACAGGGGCUAACUUCAAAUAACAGAUUCGAUACAAGACAGAUUUAGCAGAAGAAAAUGUACAAGAGAUAGCAAUCGAUUCGAGAUACAACAGACAAGAUUUGUAAACGAUGAAGAUACCUGUAGAUGAAGGUUGACGGAGAUGCGGCGAUAAGCGUGAGAGGCAAAAACCCUAAUUUUACAGAGACGAAAGAAUAAGGGAUUUCUUUGCAUUUUAUAGGCCUGCUUAAUUUCGGUACUCGGUUUUCAAUAACCGAAUCAGUUCAGUUAUUUUAAUUUUGUUUUCGCCCAGCCGGUUCAAUAAUUUGGAUUGACCGAAUCCAUGCUUUUAUGUUUAAUUUACAAAUCCAAGCUUAAUUUAUCAAUUUUGUAUUUGUUUCAUUGCUUCUUCUUCUUCAUUUUUUUUUCGUUAAAGAUGGCGUUUUCAUUUACUUUGGUUUAUUUUUCUUUGGUUUCAAUUACACUUUACGAUAAAAUUAAUCACUGAAUUUUAAUUUAAGAAAAACAAGUUGAAUUUUUGGAAUAACAAAAAAAACAAAUUAAAAAAUUUGUAUGAUAAAUGUAAAAAGACAAAUUGAAUUUUUAGAAUCAUUAACAAUCAAAUGACGAGAUUUAGAAUCUGAUUAGUUCUCACGUCGUAUUCUAAAUUUAUCAUCCAAUGUUUUAUUAUUUAAAAUUUCGAAGAAAAAUAAAUUUCAAAUAAAAAAACUUGUAUGAUAAAUCUACAUAACAAUGUAAAAACAAGUUGAAUAUUUGGAAUCCUAACAAUCUAUGACGGGAUCCAAAAUCCGGUUAGUUUUCACAUCCUAUUGUAAAUUUAUCAUCCAUAUUUCUAUUAUUUAAAAUUUUAAAAACUAAAACUAAAAAGAUAAUAAGAAAAAUAAAUUUCAAAUAAGAAACUUGUAUGAUAGAUCCACAUAACAAUGCAAAAAAACAAGUUGAAUAUUUAGAAUCGCUAACGAUCAAUGACGGGAUCCAAAAUCCGGUUAGUUCUCACAUCGUAUUGUAAAUUUAUCAUCCAAAUUUCUAUUAUUUAAACUUUUAAAAACUUAAAAAAAAAAAAAAAAAUUGUGUGAUAAAUCUACAUAACAAUACAAAAACAAGUUGAAUAUUUGGAAUCGCUAACGAUCAAUGACGGGAUCCAAAAUCCGGUUAGUUCUCACAUCGUAUUGUAAAUUUAUCAUCCAAAUUUCUAUUAUUUAAAAUUUUAAAAAACUUAAAAAUUAUAUAAAAAAGUUUUAAAUAAAGAAAUUUGUAUGAUAAAUCUAUAAAACAAUGUAAAAACAAGUUGAAUAUUUGGAAUCGCUAUCGAUCAACGACGGGAUCCAAAAUCCGGUUUGUUCUCACAUCGUAUUGUAAUUUAUCAUCCAAAUUUCUAUUAUUUAAAAAUUAAAAAUGCUAAGAAAAAAAUUAACUUUAAACAAAAACUUGAAUAAAAUUUGCAAAAAAACCUUUGAAGAGAAAUGGUUGAGAAUUAACCUGGCAAUGGGCUAGUCAUUGUUUGAUGGGCUGGAAUUGUUGUUGUUGGGCCUCUGAGAGCACGCUCAUGUGAUCAUCUGUUUCCGUUACCGCCUUACCGGGAAAACGAAUCCCCCAAUCUCCGACGAUCGCUCCACCUCCUAAAUCUGUCGCCAUCUCCGUCUCCGGAGAGAACCUCCAACAUCAUGACUCCUGAAGCCGCUAACUCCUUCGAAUCGCCUCCGUUUCUCUCUGUUUCUACGGUGAGAUCAUCACAGGCAAACAAAUUAAGAAUGUCUCUCUGACGUUUAUAUGAGACGACGUGAUGCUUGUGUGUGUAUGAUCUCUCUCGUCUUAUUCAUAGCUUUUUAAGAGAACAGAGAGCCGUUGUAUAUAUGAUGAGUUUUUCUUGGGCCAGACCAACGAAUGAUUCUUUUUAAACGAAGGGAGAAGAAAGAACCAGGGCAUCAUCAUCUCGAAGAAGAGAAUUGAAAUCAGAGAAAUUGCGUCUUUAGACUCGAGGAGAUAACAGGAAACGAGGUAUAUUUAUAAAACUUAUAUGUUUAAGAAUUGAGACUCAAGUUCCCUUUUUUUCUUCCCAAAGUUUCCUUUUUUCCUUUUCACUUAGGGUUUGUUUAAGUCCAGACUCCAGAGCAAACACCAACCUUAGGUUCGGUGAUAAUCAAUCUAGCCGUUAUACACGGUUCGGGUUAAACCUUAGAGGUUUGGUGAUAAUCUAGCCGCUAGACUCAAGUUUCCUUUUUCCCCUUUCACUUAGGAAGUCCAGACCAACCUUUGGUUCCGUGAUAUAUAAUCUAGCCGUUAUACGGAUUAAAAAUUUCCAUUUACUAGCUGAUACGCUCCUAUAAAUUGUAUUUUGAUUGUAUUACUACUAACGCAUUGCUUCUCAUUUUGAUCACGUUGAUCUAUUGUUUUGCAGAACAGGGCUAAGAAGAACAGAACCAAAGUAUAGCAGUCUUAAAGAUUUUUUCAUGGUUUGAACAAAUAAAAUCACAUUGAUAAAGAUGCUUCCACAAUACCUCAACAACAGAAUGAACAGAAGCAAACACCAAAAAGUCUUCAUAAACAUUAUCUAUAAAGAACAUGAGAUAUGUGUCCCAAAAAACAAAACAAAAGAGAAAACCAAAGAAAGAAAGUGACGAGAUUUAACAAAUUAUGUUAAUAUGUAGUCAGGGACGACUUUUUAGCGUUGUUGAUCUUACUAUUUUCACAGACAAAAGAAGACCAGAGCCCAUCCUUCUUGUAGUUAUCAAACAAAGAAUCCAUGAGCCCUACACGUUGCCUUGGUGUGCUCAGUGAUCUCAUCUUUUGCCCUUGCAGACUCUGUCACACUCAUGUAAGGCUGCAAACCAUCGGAGCUUUGAAACCAGCUCUCGUCCUCCACUAAUAGACUCUGCUCCAAACGGCUGAAAAAUCUCCUUAGGAAAGAAAAUGGAGAGUCUUGUCUCUACAAAGUUGUAAGCUUCACUUUUGUAGGAACAAGCAUUUCACUUGGAAUGAGAAAUUAGUUUAUGGAUUUUGCAGACUUGGAUUGAUCACCCCAAUGUUCCAGCCGACAGCUUCUCAUCCCCAUAUCUUUAGUGUACAAUGACUCCACAAGCAUAUGAGGACUUCUUCUCUCCUACCAAACUGUUAUAUGUAAUCAAAUGCUCUGCUUUUGGUGUAUCUACAAUGUCUAAACAACACAUUAAGGAUGAUAUAGAACAUUUAUUUCUUACUGGAAAUAAAAGAACAAGUUUUGCUUAUUACAAUAUACCAAAAUACAGAAAGAACAAUAACAUUUUGAGAAACAGACACAAAGAAACAAAAGCACAAACUCAUAUCUCAACCCCUCUCUCCCCUUUCCUUCUUCAUCUUCUUUCUUUCAGAGCCUUGAGACAUUGAUAGGGUAGUGAGCUACAAUGUGAUUAUAAACAGCAAGUGUAAGAAAAUCAUCAAGCUCAGGUGCAGUACACUGCUUUGUAAACAUCUUGCAAGCUUCCUUAUACAUUCCAUUCUUAAACUUGUCUUUCCCAACUUCUUUCUCAAUUCUUUCCAUCUCUUCUUCGACAACUCUCCCAAACAACUCUUUACUCACUCGAACUCCAAGCCCGUCUCCAUCAAGUUCCACUCCAUACCUAAUCCAUUGCCAAUUCUGGACACGGCUUAUCUCAGCCGUAGCAGCAUCUUCCAUUAGGUUAUAGAGUGGGACAGAUCCUGAUCCUGUUAACCAUGCGGCUAAGUAUUGAAUUCCUACACGUGUGUUCAGCCUUAAACCCUCGAGUGUACGCACUCCUCGCGGUAUUUGAAGCAGAUCUUCCUCUGUUAUUGCGGCUGCGUCCUCGCGCUUCACUGAUUUGAUUUGGUUUGGACUUUUUCCCAUGUGACCAGUGAAUGCUUCCAUGCAGAUUGGGAUGAGUCCUGGAUGAGCCGCCCAUGUUCCAUCAUGCCCUGCUCUUACCUCUCUCAGCUUGUCUUUCCUCACUAGAUCCAAUGCCAUCUCAUUCGCUUUUGGGUCAUCUCUUAUCGGAAUCUGAGCCGCCUGAUCAUCAUACCACCGAACAAAUCAAAACAUUUUCAACUUUAUUUAUAAUGUUUUCACAGAGCAUUCAUGUAGUUUGAAAGAGACAUAUAGUGAACUAGUGUUAAGAGGGGACUAACCAUGCCACCCAUGGCGUGGACACCGCGCUUAUGACAAGUACGGAUGAGAAGAUCAGAGUAACUUCUCAUGAAAUGCUGGCCCAUGCCAACUAGGACACGGUCUGGUAAGAGCCGGUCAGGGUGAGCUUGGAAGGUUUUGACAUAGCUGAAGAUAUAAUCCCAUCUUCCACAGUUUAAACCGACUGAGUGAUCACGUAGUUCAUAGAGUAUCUCAUUCAUCUGGAAGACAGCCGGGAGGGUCUCGAUAAGCACAGUUGCUCUAAUGCUUCCUCUCUCUAUCCCAGCCAUCUUCUCAGCACGCUCAAAAACACUGUUCCAUAUCUUUGCUUCCCUGACAAGAAACCAAGUAACCUAAUUAACCCUAGACCGAAAAACAUCAAUUUGAUGACCGAACCAGGAAGGUACCUAGAAUGUUCCAUUUUGGGGAGAUAGAAGAAUGGACCGAAACCGGAACCUUGAGUCUGUCUAAAUUUGGCGUAGUUGUGGAAGAAGUAAAGGCCAAAAUCGACAAGACAUCCAGUGGCGGGUUCACCGUCGAUGAGGAUGUGAGCCUCCGGGAGAUGCCAACCUCUUGGCCGGACAAAAAGCUUAGCGGUUUGGUCGUUGAGCUUGUAAACUCUGUUCCUUGACUUGUCGUGGAACGUAAUGGAUCCAUCCACUGCAUCUUUCAGGUUCACAUGCCCUCUCAUCAGAUUCUCCCAGCUUGGAGACAAAGCGUCCUCGAAAUCAGCCUGUUCAAACCCCAACACAAAAUUUACUUAAUUUGGUUAGUUUAAACCGGAUAUUAUAUACAGCAGAACAUACCAAACCAAACCAAAUCGACUUGUAUCGAACAUAGAUAAAAACAGAACCGGAUCGAAAUACACCAAACCAAACAAAUUUGAUAUUAACUAGCCUGCCAGACCAACUAAAUUUGGUCAAUUCCUCUGAAUAGUAAAUUCAGACAUAAAUAUAACAAAACCAAAUUUAAACUGAUACCAAAUUGAACGCGGUCCAAUUAAAAGUUUGUUACAGUAUUAUUCAAAAGUUUCACCAAUGUCGGUCAAAUCCAAUCCAAACCAACUAAUGUGUUGUAUAAAGAGAGAGUGAAAGAAAAUGGACCAUAAAGACUUUAGCUCCGGAGUUAAGAGCGUUGAUGAUCAUCUUCCUCUCGACCGGACCGGUGAUCUCAACUCUCCGGUCAGCAACGGCAGGAGGGACGGAGGCACAGCUCCAAUCACCGUCUCUGAUGAACUUAGUGGAAGGAUCAAACCCAGGAACGGCACCGGAGUUAUAACGCCGUCUUGCCUCUCUCCGGCACUCCAUGGCAUACUUCACAUGGCCACGAAACUCUCUCUGUAACUCAGCCACAAAGCUAAGAGCUUCUCUCGUCAAAAUCUUGGCGAAGAUUUGGUCGUACCGUCCUCGAACCUCCACACCAUCCGGAGAAUCAUAAACGGCGACGUUUGGUCGAUAAACUGAGGUCUCGAGCUCCAUAUUUAUUUUUUUGUCUAAAUUUUGUAACGUGAUAUAGUGAUAUAUAAAUGUGAUCGUGUAAUAUGAAUUAUAAAGGUGGAAAUGGAUAGGUAUAAUCGGUGAAACGCAUUGACAUGUGUGCCUCCUUGGGAAAGUGUGCCAAGUUCUGUAUGAUUUUCGUCACUAUAUCGGUUAGGAUAGGAUUAUCACAAAUUUUCUAUUUAUAAUAAUAUCCUUUUCGUCACCAUAUCGUUUUCAUCAUCCAAUACCUCUGGCUCUGCAUAAAACCUAAAACAGUUUUAGUUGUCAUGCAAAUUAGUUUACUGAUUGCUUCUAUUGGAUGAUGAGACCAAAACAUCCUUGUUAACGGAUUGAUUCAGAUAAAAUCGAGGCACUGUUUUGGGUUCAAUCCAAAUGUUUUGAAAUUUGGUCUUAAACUCUUUUUUUUUUUUUUUUUUUGUUAAAGUGGUCUUAAACUCUUAAUAUCCCAAUAUGAGAUAUUGAGAUACAUGAAUGGGAGAAGUUUAAUUUUUAUCAACAUGCUGUAAGAUCUGGAAUCAAUCGGACUUGUAGGUGUGCUUGGGCCUUGGAAUUACCCAUCCUCUAUAACUUUAUAUUAGCCCAUUUAUAAAUUAGUUCUACUGGGUUGGUGGUGUACUGGUGUUCACCAAAUCUAGGAAAAUUAAUAACUGAUUGAUUCAGAUAAAAUUAAUUCUUGUAAAGACAACGGUCAUUAUUCUUAAUUCUUAUUUUUUGACUGCAUGAUAACGAUCAUAUUAACCUAUUAAGGGGAAAACUAAACUUCACAAAGAUAAAGAAACCAAGUAUGACUCUCCUAAUAUUUCUCCAUCCUUGACUAAAUAUAAAAGUAUAAAACUAUCAUGAACAACUGAACAAGGUUGCCAAGUUAUAUACUAUACCGGUUUAAUAAGUCAAAAGCUAUUUCAUCCAUCAGUUUUAGAUAUCUUGAGAGACAAGUGCACUAACAAAAUAAUCGUAGCCCAAAGUCCUUAAAAUCAUUGAUAUUAUCUUAAUUAUUCAGUCACGAAGCUAAACACCUAAUGAGAAUCUAAAUUAAACAAAUCUGGUGACAAAUUCUUAAUGAAUGAUACCCAUUGAUUUGAAUUGAAUCUUAAAAAUGAAAAAGGUUUACAAACAUUAGAAACAAAUUCCAUUAAACUAGUAGUAGUACACACCAAGAGCACUAAACACGGCUUUAGAAACUCUCUCUCACCAAAUCAUUACAAACCAAAAUCAACCCUUCAAAAGUCAGCCUCCAGAAUUAGGGCAAAACUGAUUCUCUUUUUUAAGAACAAAUUGGACAUAGAACCAAACCAUUCUCAUUACACUUCAAACACUUAACCAUACUCUUCUUCUCUUCCUCCCUAACCUUGCAGCUUCCGUUGCAAACAACACACAUCAUAAAUCUCAUUCCUCCACAUCCACGGCAGCAACUGCCUCCAAGCCUCGCCGCCGGAAUACCUUCAAGUAAUAUUCCCAAUUUGCCCUCCUCUUCUAACCUCAUCACUUCCUCAACACUUCCUACCAUCCUCCCUUUAACGAAUACCGCAGGUAUCUUCACAUGUUUCGUUCCCAUAAUGCCCCUGAUCUCUUCCUUAAAAACCGAGUGCAUCGACACAUCUCGCUCUGAGAAUCGAACUUCGUGUGAAUCUAAUAUCGAUCUUACCACAUUACAAUCCUCAAACGUCUUCCGUAUCCCUCUAAGAGUUGUUAUGUAGAUCACCACAGAGUGCUCUCCUCCCGGUGGACAUUUCUCUGGGAACUUCUCAAGAAUUCUCUCUGUUUUCUCUGUUUUUCUGCUCUCGUGCACCACCGGAGAAAUCACCAUCUUGAUCUGUUCUUUCUCUUGAGACAACUCUCUUUCGUAAGAAGCCACAAGAUCUGGAUCAAACAUUGGACUAUAACUCUUCCUCCUCUGCGUAACCGUCACCGAAGAUUCUUCAGAUUUAAGAGGAAAACUCAAACGCAUUACACCUCUCUUCGGUGUUUCAAGAAUGUUCUUCGGCUUCAGAAUCUGAUUCGGACUCACACCUCUCGAAUUAUUCUCUUUCCCUCCAAAUCUCUUACUACUUCCUCUCUUCGGAGAUUCAACAACCGAUUUCACCGGAGUCUUCCAUGAUUUACCGAAAAUACCACGAGAUUUGGGACUAAUCUUCUGUGGAUUAGAAACGUGCAUUGAAUCUUCAAGAUCUUCCAUAAGCUCCCAAGUAUUGAUAAUCUCCGGAUCAUCUCUCUUAAUAGAUCUUCUCGGUAUGAUUUCAGAUUCAAAGACUUCGCCUUUAGUAACUUCCAGUGACUUAGGAGAGGUCUCUGCUCGUUCAUCGAGAUCGAGAUGACCAUAAGUAGUUGAAGUAAGAGAGACAAUGUGAUCGCCGCCAUUGUUGACUCUAAUCUCUCUUAUGAGUUUCUUCUUGCCUAGUUUCGAAGAAACACAACCCAUCUUUCUCUCUCUCUCUCUCUGUCUCUUGUUUUUUUUUUACUGAGGAAAGUUUUUAUUUUUGGGAAGAACAGAGAGAUUGAAGAAGAAGAAGAGAGGAGUUAUUUUGUUUUUGUUUUUAAAACAAUUUAAUUACUUUCAACGGUCAUAUUUUUCGAACGGACGUUGUGGAAGUGUAAGUGGAUCGAAAGAUUUUUGUCGGAAGUCCCUGAUCUUUAUGUUUUAUUACGUUUUAAUCGAAUAUAUCCUUAAAAUGUUAUGAUUGGACCUCUGAUGGUAGUACUUAAAACUCCUGAUUUAUUUCAUUUUUCUCCCUAAAGUAUUUGUUUGUUUAGUUUUGACCCUGUGACUCUUUUAUUUCUUUGUCCUAGAUUCUUUCAAUUGCAGACUGCAACGGUCUAUUAUUGUACGUUAAGCGAACGUUAAACGCUUUCCAAUUUUACCUGUCCUUAUGAAUUUAUAUAUUUCAAUUACAAAAGUUGACCAUUCUUAAUUCUUUAUUGUAUAAACUUAUACGUAAAAUUUGUUGAAAUAUUUUGAUAAAAUUGUUGGAAGCAAGCUUACUUAAUAAUAAACAUAUAACAAUUUUGUGUUAAAACCUUCUCAAUGUAUAUGAUUUUUGAUGAUAUCAAUAAAUUUUGUAAAGGUAAAGAUGCAAAAUUGCAAAUAAUUAAGUUACGUGUAGCAGUUUUAUUGUUAUUUUUUACUAAAGAGGGACAAUAUAUAGAGGAAAAAGGAGGGCAUGCUAAUUUCAAAGUAAACAAAAAAAAAUAGAAAAUCUAGACCAAUACCAUCACCCAAGAUUGCACUUUAAAUUAAAAGAUUGAUAAUAAUAACAGAAUUUGCAUAUCUGAAUCAUAAUGCCACCAUACAGAAACAAACCGUGCUUAGCCUUUUUCAGUCUACCUUUUGUAAAAGGCAUUCGUUUUAAAAUAAAAUUUUAUGAGGCACAACAAUAAAUUGAAUUUAUAUAUAGUACAAAGAAAUAUUAGUUUUUGAUAAUCGUUAUUUCUUGACCCUACUAAUGUUGGCACAACUAUAUUUCCCUCCAUUUAUGUAUAAAUUGGAUUUUCUUAGCUUAAGAUAUCGAUAAAAAUGUAAUCAUAACAAGCAAUUAACAAACAUUAUUCAUAACAACAAGUGCACAAAACGACACAAUUCAACCACUAACAACAAACAAACAAUUUAUAUGGCCAUAUUUCGAAACUUUAGAUUUGAAUUUCCGAAUUUGUUUUAGUUUAUUGGUUAAAUAACUAAUUUUGGAAAAAUCUAUAUACAAAAGGACACAGAAAAAGAAACAAAAGAUGAUCCAAAUUAAAAUUUAAAUAAAACGGACCACAAUGUGUUGACUGUUGAUAGACUUUUGUAAUCAUAUAUAAUCCGACUCGGACCACUUGUAGUUCUCGGACAAUCAGCAUGUGCCUCUUCCAGUCUCUUUUCAUCCAUCCCAUGAUUUUGUCUAUUUAUUUAUUUUACCAAAAAAUCAGCUUUAAAAUGAUAGAUCAUCAUCACCUUCAAAUUAUGUACACCGAAAAUCAAAACUUGGAGGAUUAUUGUCACAAUUCCUUUACUUAUAUAUAAGUACAUGUCUUCAUUUAAAACCUCUACAGAUAACUGCGUUCAGUUUAUUGGGGGAACAGAAAGUAGGCUGAACAUACACACAACAAUUAACAUAUAUCUAUACGGUAUAAAGUGAGGAAGACGAACACUUAGGCAGCAUAAGUUUGCUUGAGAUACUCAACAAUUUCUGCACUCUCAAACAUCGCGACUCCAGUGUUUGGAUCUUCCAGGUAAGGCACCUAUAACAACAUAACACGACCAUCAGUGUCAACAUACUUUAAACCUUCUCCUCUCUUUCUCUAGGUAUGUAUUUCUCUAACUCACCUGAAAGUGACCAGCUUUCUCAAGCAAUACCUGCCGUUUGGGGCUACCACGAGCACAACUGAUGAAAAAGAACAAGUAAAAGGGUAGUAUCAAUAAAAGACUGACUUUGAACCCUUGAAGAACAGAUGGUGGAACUGGUCUAAGAGACUAAGAGUCUUCUUUUUGUGGUUGCCAUACCUGCGCUGAAUGUGUGGUAACUCCAGUUCUACAAGAACUUCGCGUACAAGCUUACAAAACGGAGAACCCU